CAGGGCUCAGGACCAGGAUGCGGGAACCUGGAAGGCUGAGGAUGCGAGCCAGUCGUUCGGGGCAGAGGGCGCGGGCGGGGAACGGAGUUAGCUCCCCACGUGGGGGGCUCGGAGUCGGCGCGGCUGGGAGGCAGGGUGCCGGGGCCUGUGCCCCCCCGCACUUCCGGGGGGCGGGAGCACCGCCCUUAAGGUGGUUCUGUGAGGUCCCCGAGCGGGGCGAGCGAAAGUGGGCUGAAGUUUGGGGACGGUCUUGAGAAAGUCGGUUCCCUACGUUGAGAACGUUCCGAAGUUUGUCUCUUGGUCAAGUUAAGGGGUCGCAUAGCUGUGUGGCCGCGCGCAGUCACCGAGCGAUUUCAUGGCUGGAUACGGAUUUAGCUGAGUCCCCUGCACCCUCCGAGAACGUGUGGGAAAGCGUGCAGGGGUUCAGCUCUGCCUCGCAGGGGCGGGCUUUUUAGGAGCGGAAUUAGGGGGGCACCUCAGCGUCUAGAUGGGAAGGCGCUAUCAGGGAGUCCGAAAUUCUGGGAACCCGCUGUCGGUCUGCGCCCGGCUCCCGCCCCCGCGCAACACGCGCGCUCCCCCUCCCCCAGGCACACACAGUCGCAGUCCUUCCGCCCUGAUUUGCCUUCAGGAAAACUGGCCGGAGAGCGGGGGGCACUCGCCCAAAAUCACUCAGUAGAACCAGGAGUCUGGAGUAGAAGCAGGCUUAAAUCUCUCCACUCCCUGUCUGGUAGUGGGCCCAUAUUCUGUGCAGCCUCUAGGAAGCGCUAGACACAUUUAUUUGAAUGUGAAGAGUAAUGAAUAACACUCCUUUCUUGAGUUCAGAAUCAGCUGAAAGUUUGACACAAAGAACAGAUGAAUGGGAAUCAUGAUGUCACCUGGAUUGGAGUUCAUGGUAGACGUGAAGCCACAGUCUCUUUCACCAAUCAGAGGCCAAGCAUCAAGAAGGCAGAAGAAAGUAUCUCUUCGUCUUCACUGAAUCCACAGCAUCUAGCAUAGCAUAGAGAGUAUGCUCAGUCAAUCUGGGUUAUACAUCAGACCCUGUGGAAGUCCUCUUGGGUCAACUAGGUUUUGGUCAAGGAGGAUUAUAGAACUAUUGUAUAAACAUCACUCUUAUGGGCUUGCCUAGUCUGCACUCAAAAUUUCCACAAAGCUUAUAGUAUCAUAAAGUAGCUAGAGUCUUUCUGGGUUAUCGUCAAAGACCUGUCCUUCUCCCAGUGAAGGACUUCCUUUGGCAGCAUCUUAGAUACUUAAAUACUUCUAGCCACAGAGUGGGGAUGUGAUACCCAGAGAGCAGUAGUAAUAAUUCUGCUUAGUGCUACUGAUUGGACACCAUCAGGAAUACUGGGGGUACGAAACUUGGAAAGCAAUUUUGGCCAACCGUAGAAAUCUGAGAGUCAGCUACAUGGUAAGAGACUUGAAACCAUGCCCCAAGGGGAAUAACUGAAGGAACUGGGAUUAUUCAGCAGGGCAUGGGGUGGGUAUGGUAGGGACAAGACAGAGCACAUAUAGGGCUUCCCAAAUAGUGGUAAUUGUCACAUGGGAGAGUUGACUUAUUCUGUAGGCUUUGAGGUCAGAGUUAGACUAAUGGUUAGAAGUCAGAGAAGAAAACUGCUAUAAUUAAGGAAGAACUUUCUGAAAUUAUUGAUCAGUAGGACAGUUACCUUAAUUGUAGAAUUGCAGUCUCUCCACUCAACACAUAUUUAUUGUCUGCUAUGUUCCAGAAACUCUGUGAGUUAGUUAAUGGUAAUUCCUAGUGAGCACAUAGUACUUAUGGUAAUCAUCACUUUAUUUUCACAGUUCAUAAAAGCUAUCUUAAAUAGUCUCAUUUAGAAUUUGGGAUUUGUUGCUCACAUUAGUGGUUUCUCAAUUCUAGAGUUACACGUUUUUGCUCACAAAAUUUGUAAACUUGGGUUGAUGUUUUCUUGUGUCCAAUGUUAGUUAUAUGGACAUUCUUCUGUCAACACAAGCAUUUUCAUAUCAUAAGAGAAAAUUACCCAUACUUAGGAUCACUCAGGAAGAUGAGGUACUCCCUUAUUGUCUGUGGUAGAAGAACUGUAAGUAUCCACCAAGCCACUUUCCUUUUCUGCCUUGGCACCCAGCUAGACUGCAUUUCCUGGCUCCUUUGCAAGUAGGUGUGCCUGAGUUUUAACCAUUGCAAAGAGGGUCAAUAGGAUGUGCAUCACAGGCCUGGUUCAUAAAACCAUCUCCCUAUCUUCUGAUAAGGGACUCCAAGGUCAUACAGAGGGAUACAACCACAGAGAGAAGGAACCUGGAAAUCUGAUGAAGGUUGUCUAAAACUCACAAAUGGUCUCACUGGACUUGGAAUGUGAAAUCAACUUCAUUGUGUUGAUGAACUGAGAUUUAGGAGUAUAUUUGUUAGAACUGCCAGUGUCAUCCUGCUGCAGUUGGUGCUGCAGGAGGACCUCAGGGAUCCCAGACCCAAAGUUAGGGAUUCUUCCUAGUUUUGUACCAGUUUGAAGAGAAUGAGUGGAAGAGGCAGAAGUACAGAAAAUGGCACUUAAUUGCAUACUGAGGCUUCCUUUUGCUAAUAUUUUCUUCCCAUCAAACUUAUAAACUUCAUAAGUCAUGUUAGCAUGUCUUAUGUCCUCUUCUGUAUUUAAUGGUUCAGUGAGAACUGAGAAAUGCCUGGUGCUUUGGGGAUUUCAGAAGAAAUGCAGAUAUCAUAUAUUGUUAAAACAUUCAUCAAUUCAAUAGUGUUUGAGUGUUUACCAUAGGCCAGCCACUGGUGAUCAUGGGGAAGAAGAGCUACAGGCCUGCCUACAAGUUGAGGGAUAGCAAGGAAAAUGUAUAGAAAGGAGGUAAGACUAAUCCAGUAUGAUAAUGUGCUGAGAGAGAGGAACAGGAUUCUCUGACUGUAUAUGGCACCUAACAAGGGUAGAGGUCAGAGAAUAGUUGUUAAAAGGUCAUGAAUAAACUUGAGACUUCCAGGAUGAGUAGAAGUAGCCAGAAGAAGUGGAGGUGGUGGAGAAAGAAAGUGUUCUAAGAAGAUUGAGGACAUACAGCAAUGCCUGGUGUUAAUGAAUGUAGGGCAUGUUUGGAGGGACAAAAGGGAAGCUAGAAAGAAAAAGCGAGCAUGAGUAUGAGAAGAGGGCUUUGUGGUUUAUGUGCACGUGUACUGAAAUGCACCCGGAAGGCCUUGCACUAUGUAUAGGCAUCAAGCACUAGAUGUGUAUGCAUGUACUUAGGAGGAAAUAUGACUGGUUAACCAUCAAGAUGUCAGUGACUGCUGUUUGGGUAAAUUCCACUGGCCUUGUGCUUCCCUAUUUGUUUUAAACUUUUCUUCAAUAAACAUGUACACUUGCA
Long non-coding RNA from Sciurus carolinensis (gray squirrel), 3324 nucleotides. RefSeq lists it as uncharacterized. Lineage: Eukaryota; Metazoa; Chordata; Mammalia; Rodentia; Sciuridae. The transcript is spliced from 3 exons. The record is from RefSeq and is a predicted model, not a curated record.